GCCUUUGUGGUGUAGUGGUCAGCACGCUCGACGCGUAACCGAGAGGUCCGCGGCUCGAUUUCCGGCGAAGGCG
This is a non-coding RNA of Stegodyphus mimosarum, 73 nucleotides long. The record is from Rfam. NCBI's taxonomy places the organism in Eukaryota, Metazoa, Arthropoda, Arachnida, Araneae, Eresidae.